RNA transcript from Glycine soja, 1669 nucleotides. RefSeq lists it as uncharacterized. The transcript is spliced from 5 exons. The record is from RefSeq and is a predicted model, not a curated record. Lineage: Eukaryota; Viridiplantae; Streptophyta; Magnoliopsida; Fabales; Fabaceae.
UUGUGUUGUGCGUCACAGAAUCCAAGUGUCAACAGUGAGUGAAGGAUAUAUCCCUUCUCACUGACCCCAUCAUUAGCAAUUUUCAAACACAAGAUCUCUCUCUCCAUCUUCCCCAUCAUCUCUUCUACCUACUUCUUCUCCUUUUGUGCAACUUGGCCUCUGCUCAAUAACACAGAUUCUAUAUCCUUUGUGUUGUGUUGUGUUGCUCACUCUAAAAAAGUAAGAGAGAGAGAGAGAGGGGGGACAACAUCCCACCAUUUGUGGCUGCCCUCUAUUUUAGUCCCUAGCCUCAAUCAAUCAUGCCAUCAGGUGCUAAGAAGAGGAAAGCUGCCAAGAAAAAGAAGGAAAAGGAAACUGAAAUUAACACCAACCCUUCAACAACCAACCCUCAAGGGAAUGAUGAGGUGAAGUCACAGUCUCAGGACGAGAAAGGAAGUGAUGGUGGUGAGGGUGGUUCACCAGCACAUGGUGAACAUGAUCCUGCAUUCAAUGAAGAGGAGGAGGAGAGGGACCCUUCAGCUGCUCAACCAUCUCAUGCUGCUUCUUCUUCUAAGGACUUGGAGGAAGCCCCUGGUGAUGCUAAGAUCGAUGAAACUGAAGGACGAAAAGAAGGUAUUGUUGUGAUACAGUGGGAUAUGAAAUCUGAGGGUUCUGAGAGCAAAGAUGUGAUUGUUGGACAUGUUGAGUCUGCCAAGGAAUCUGAUCAUGGGAACGGGAAUAGGAACUACAGCAGUUCAAGUUCAAGCGAUGAAACCGGAACCUUAAAGAACUCAAAGAAUGAGUCCCAUAAUUCAGUAAAUGAGACAGUUGGAUUUGAUGAGUUGGUUAAAACCAUGGACUCUUUGCAUGCCAAAAUGACGUCGAUUACUCAAAAUGUGCUGGUUGAGGAGACUGGUGAUUCGGUUGUGGAAUCUUCUGCUGAUAUAGCUAAAGUAGUGGCUGCUGUACCUGAGGUACAAACCAUUGAUAAUAAUAAUGCUUUAUUGGAGAAAUCUACAGGAUCUCAAGUAGAGGCAACUUAUCUUGCGGUGGAGAAAAAUGAGGAUAAAGAACAUUCCUCCUCUGAUGAAAAUGUAAGAACAAUAAGUUUGGAGGAACCUAAGCCAAGGGAAUUUGACAGUGAAGUAUCAGCAUCAGUGUCUCAGAGUCCUAUCCCUGAAUCUACUAUUGAUGCAGAACAUGUUAAAGAUUCUGAUACUCCAGAAUGCUCUGAUAAUCAGCCACUUGUAGCAUCAGUUCCACCUGUGGUGCAAAAGACUUCCUGGUUGAGUUGCUGUGGACUGUUUGAUGUUCUGUCAGGUUCCAACAGAUAAGUUCAGCCUGAAUCUUGGUAAUGGUUUCAACUGAGGUGAGGGAGUAUUCUUAUUUGUGGGCCGCAAAAAAAUUUAAUACUAGCACGAUCGAGGAUAUCAUCUGAUGGAUCAAACUUAUAUAAACAUAGGAGUACUUCGUCGAGAAAUUUUUUUGAUAUUUUAAUGUAGAUUUCUUGUUAAGAUUUUCCAAAGAAUAAUGGGCAGAGACCCAACUACAUAAUUCAUGAGGUUUAUCAAAGGUUUGUUGUAGUAUUUGUGUUAGCAACAGUUUCAGCUAAAUAUACCUUAGUCUUUAAAACUGUUCAAAUUACAUCUUUGUUAGUCUACAAUUAUUGUCAUUCUCUUAGUUCUGCUUA